This 69-nucleotide transfer RNA is filed under the name Solobacterium sp. RNAcentral's name for it is "tRNA-OTHER". It matches the Rfam family "tRNA". Rfam says of the family: Transfer RNA (tRNA) molecules are approximately 80 nucleotides in length. Their secondary structure includes four short double-helical elements and three loops (D, anti-codon, and T loops). Further hydrogen bonds mediate the characteristic L-shaped molecular structure. tRNAs have two regions of fundamental functional importance: the anti-codon, which is responsible for specific mRNA codon recognition, and the 3' end, to which the tRNAs corresponding amino acid is attached (by aminoacyl-tRNA synthetases). tRNAs cope with the degeneracy of the genetic code in two manners: having more than one tRNA (with a specific anti-codon) for a particular amino acid; and 'wobble' base-pairing, i.e. permitting non-standard base-pairing at the 3rd anti-codon position. Lineage: Bacteria; Bacillati; Bacillota; Erysipelotrichia; Erysipelotrichales; Erysipelotrichaceae. RNAcentral also lists the same sequence under 1 other name. The record is from RNAcentral.
AAGAAGAUAGCUCAGCGGGAGAGCACCCUGAAAAUGCGGUGGUCGGUGGUUCAACUCCACCUCUUCUUU